GCAUACUUAAAUUCACACAGGACACCGGAUAAGAUAGGAGAAAUACUCCAGAUAUAACAGACUGACCCUAGCCCCCCGACACAAACUACUGCAGCAUAAAUACUGGAGGCUGAGACAGGAGGGGUCAGGAGACACUGUGGCCUCAUCUGAUGAUAUUGCCGGACAGGGCCAAACAGGAAGGAUAUAACCCCACCCACUUUGCCAAAGCACAGCCCCCACACCACUAGAGGGAUAUCUUCAAACACCAACUUACCAUCCUGAGACAAGGCCGAGUAUAGCCCACAAAGAUCUUCGCCACGGCACAACCCAAGGGGGGGGCGCCAACCCAGACAGGAAGACCACGUCAGUGACUCAACCCACUCAAGUGACGCACCCCUCUUAGGGACGGCAUGGAAGAACACCAAUAAGCCAGUGACUCAGCCCCUGUAAUAGGGUUAGAGGCAGAGAAUCCCAGUGAAGAGAGGGGAACCGGCUAGGCAGAGACAGCAAGGGCGGUUCGUUGCUCCAGAGCCUUUCCGUUCACCUUCACACUCCUGGGCCAGACUACACUCAAUCAUAGGACCCAUUGAAGAGAUGAGUCUUCAGUAAAGACUUAAAGGUUGAGACCGAGUCUGAUCUCUCACAUGGGUAGGCAGACUAUUCCAUAAAAAUGGAGCUCUAUAGGAGAAAGCCCUGCCUCCAGCUGUUUGCUUGGAAAUUCUAGGGACAAUUAGGAGGCCUGCGUCUUGUGACCGUAGCGUACGUGUAUGUAUGUACGGCAGGACCAAAUCGGAAAGAUAGGUAGGAGCAAGCCCAUGUAAUGCUUUGUAGGUUAGCAGUAAAACCUUGAAAUCAGCCCUUGCCUUAACAGGAAGCCAGUGUAGUGAGGCUAACACUGGAGUAAUAUGAUCAAAUUUUUUGGUUCUAGUCAGGAUUCUAGCAGCCGUAUUUAGCACUAACUGAAGUUUAUUUAGUGCUUUAUCCGGGUAGCCGGAAAGUAAAGCAUUGCAGUAGUCCAACCUAGAAGUAACAAAGGCAUGGAUUAAUUUUUCUGCGUCAUUUUUGGACAGAAAGUUUCUGAUUUUUGCAAUGUUACGUAGAUGGAAAAAAGCUGCCCUUGAAACAGUCUUGAUAUGUUCUUCAAAAGAGAGAUCAGGGUCCAGAGUAACGCCGAGGUCCUUCACAGUUUUAUUUGAGACGACUGUACAACCAUCAAGAUUAAUUGUCAGAUUUAACAGAAGAUCUCUUUGUUUCUUGGGACCUAGAACAAGCAUCUCUGUUUUGUCCGAGUUUAAAAGUAGAAAGUUUGCAGCCAUCCACUUCCUUAUGUCUGAAACACAGGCUUCUAGCGAGGGGAAUUUUGGGGCUUCACCAUGUUUCAUUGAAAUGUACAGCUGUGUGUCAUCCGCAUAGCAGUGAAAUGUAACAUUAUGUUUUCGAAUGACAUCCCCAAGAGGUAAAAUAUAUAGUGAAAACAAUAGUGGUCCUAAAACGGAACCUUGAGGAACACCGAAAUUUACAGAUGAUUUGGCAGAGGACAAACCAUUCACAGAGACAAACUGAUAUCUUUCCGACAGAUAAGAUCUAAACCAGGCCAGAACUUGUCCGUGUAGACCAAUUUGGGUUUCCAAUCACUCUAAAAGAAUGUGGUGAUCGAUGGUAUCAAAAGCAGCACUAAGAUCUAGGAGCACGAGGACAGAUGCAGAGCCUCCGUCUGACAUCAUUAAAAGGUCAUUUACCACCUUCACAAGUGCAGUCUCAGUGCUAUGAUGGGGUCUAAAACCAGACUGAAGCGUUUCGUAUACAUUGUUUGUCUUCAGGAAGGCAUCACUCGUCGUGUUGAAGGCAGCCAAUGCCCUGCUUCUAACUAUGAUGUUUUCACAUUGUGAAAACGUGAGCUGCUGUCUGAUGAAGAGGAACAGAUAUAGCUAGCUAGACUGAAAGACUGAACUAAGAUCAAUAUCUGUUUUUGAGUGCACUUAAAAUAUGUAGCAUGCUAAUAUACGAAUAUACAACAAUACGAAUUGUCUUGAUCAUAUGAAGAGUUAACUCCACUGACCAUCUAGCCAAUUUAUUGACAGCGAGGCCAAUAUUCCAGUUUGUCUAGCCUAGCCAGCUACUGUGUAAAUGUCAAUUGUGUUUCAUUAGCUAGCUAUCUCUCCGUCUGUGAAUUCCAUUCUUUUUAAUGUUUAUGGCAUAUAACGCUCAUUUCAAGUAACUAGCUGCAGGCUUAAAGAAACAUUAAAUCAUAUACUUUGCAUAGAAACCCAAAUAAAAGCAAGCAUCUAGAUAGAAAGAUGUGUGUGUGUGUGUGUGUGUGUGUGUGUGUGUGUGUGUGUGUGUGUGUGUGAUGGAGGAAAAUUACCAACCUAUAAGCAUUCUUACAGUCCUAUCAAAGGUAGCUGAAAGAUGGGUGGCUGAUCAUCUGACUGACCUCAUUCAAGGCAACCCUAUACAUCAAAUGCAAUUUGGAUUGAAAACUAACCAUUCUACCGAAACAGACAAUUGCUAUUUUCUGAAGUGCAUUAAAUCUAAACUGGACAUAGGUGGUCUUUUUGGAUCAUGAGGUCCUCCUAUCUAAACUAUCCUCACUUAAUGUGUCCACUGAAGUCAUUAGUUGGAUGUAUUCCUAUCUGACAAACAGAAGUCAAAGGGUUCGUUUGGGGGACACUCAGUCGGACUCUCUUUACUAUAACAUUGGGGUCCCACAGCGUCAAUAUUAGGCCUCCUUCUGUUUACCAUCUAUAUAAAUGAUCUCCCACUUGCUUGAACACAAGUUAACAUGCGGAUGUAUGCAGACGAUACGGUUCUGUAUGUACACUCCAAAAAUAGCCAAUUAGUUGUGAACAAGUUAACUGAAGCUAUGGUACAUGUUUCUAAAUGGAUGAGUAAUUAUUGCCUGCAUUUAAAUAUCGACAAAACUGUUUGUUUGUACUUCUCUAAGAAAUCCAUUGAUUCUUCCCAACGAGCUGUUCUUGCAAUGGGGAGAAUCUGAAAGUUGUGUCUAACUUCAGGUAUCUCGGCGUCAUUUUGGACUCCAACUCGACAUGUAAGAAACAUGUGAAGAAGGUGGUUAACACGGUUAAGUUUGGAUUAUCCAACUUUAGGUUUAUAAGACCGCUCCUUCCUCUGGAGGCCGCAAAACUAUAUAUGCAUGCUAUGGUCUUCUCACAUCUGAGAUAUUGCCUCACAUGCUGGUCACAAGCAGGAGCUACUCUACAAACAAACACUUAAGAUUUUUGAUAACAAACCUAACAGUUACCACCACCAUUGUCAUAUAAUUUACAAACAUAAUUACUUUAAGCAGUGUGUAGAUGCAAGCUUUGUCUUUAGGAUCCUGCAUGGUCUUGCCCCUCCACCCCUAUGCCGGCGUAUCAUGCUUAAAACGAACACAGCUCAAAAAUCACACUCUGGGAAUAGUGUGUACAUCACUGGUCAGAGAACAAUUUGUAGAAGACAGCUAGCUACAUUUUGAAGUGUCGCAUUUUGACUGAAAUGGGUCGCCAACUCUUUAAGUGUAAUGCAACACUUUUAGUUGUUACUCCAUUCCAUCGAUAUCACGCUGAAAUCAAUAGAACGGGGCAAACGUUUGGGGUGUAGCGCCAAAUAUUGUCUAUUACAUUGAGAAGAUAUUUGAGUGACCGCUCUAAUAAUGGAAAUGCAUGUCCUCAAAGAUGGAAGGCAGGCGGGAGGAGGUGAGAUCAGGUGGGACCAUUCUAACCUACAAGCGGGUAGAUACGCGUGUGAACCGUAGCAAGCUAUUUGCUUACUUUAGUUAUCGAGACGAUCGAUCUCUGUCGAAGGAGGAGCUGGAUUUUACAUAUUGUGUAUAUCUAUUUCCGUUUGUUGGCAAUGUCAAUUUUCUAAUAAAAAAAAAUAAAAAAAUUAUGUUCGCUAGCUGGACAGGCAAACUGAACUAAACUGUAAACCAAUCGAAACUUGAGUACUAUCCAUGGUACUAUCUCUGCUGAUCAAGUCUGCCAAUCACGUCAUCCAUAUCUAAGGUAGUAGACUGCUGGUGACAGAGAAAGAGAUCUCUGUCCGACAAACUGCUAUCAGCUCUGGAACGGAUGCUGUUUUACUUCCUGUGGGGAAGCAAGUGGGAGAGGCUGAGGAGGGAGGUGGUCAAGAGGCCCAGGUCCAAGGGGGGAAAGGCUUGCCUGACCUCUACUUGUUCCUGGGCAGCCACUAUACAUUGUUACAUCUCACUCUUGCCACCUCCCCGGGCAACAACAAGACCCAGGCCCUCGCACGGUUCUGGCUGGGAUCUUACAUCAGAACCCUGAGGCUGAUCCCAGUCGACCUGCAAGCCCAAGUCUCUUUCCUUCUCCCCACACACUACGCCCAGCUCCAGAAGUUUUUUAGACAUUUUAAACUGGAAAGGGAAGCAGUCACGGUUUUGACUGGGCACCGCUCUCUUCUCUCUUGUGCAGGAGUGGGAACCAGUGCGUCCAGUGUGCGGGCUUGCUAACGGUGAGCCCAUAACGGUUUGGUGUAAUGUGGCCCAUCCUGCUCUCCUGAAUUGGCACCGGGACCUGUCCUGGAUGGUCGCCCACGAGAUCCUCCCGGUCAAGGUCGUUAUGCACUCCCGGGGCAUGGCGAGGAUAUCCGUGUGCCCCCGACCAGGCUGCGGCCAAGAGAAGUCGGUGAGGCACUUGCUCUGGGAGUGCAGAGCCGCCAGGGACCUGUGGAAGGAAGCAGGCCCCCUGAUCUCCCCGUGUCUGUCAGCAGGGGAGGACCUAAUGCCCCAGCUCGUGCUGUAUGGGGUGGGCCGAAGGCCUAUUCCACCGAAGGCCUUCACCAAGCUCUGGCCCACCCUCACGUGUCUGAAGGAAGCACUGUGGUCCUCCUGUAACCUGCUGGUAGCGAAAUGAGUAGAGACCACCCCCCAGGCAGUGGCCAUGGUAGCCACGGAAGCCCUGGGGUGGUACAGAAGAAAGGGAGCCUCGACCCCAAGCGAAGGGUCCCCCACAACACCCAAGGUCCCGGCGGCCACGGCCUGACAGCGCUGCGGUGCCUAGGGCGAUGCACCUUGAGGAGGGAUCUCCUCUGGGACCUGAAGGACAGGACUGUGAUUGAUUCGGAAGAGCAGGAGGAGGCGAGUUUGAUAAGGACUCACCCUGCUCCUGUACAAAGGACCAAAGACAGCUUUUUAACAAAGUGACUUUUUCUUACAUGCUUUCAUGUCUUAAAAAUGUUUUACUUUUGUUAAAUCAUUUGUAC
Molecule: long non-coding RNA, 5202 nt
Filed under: Salmo salar (Atlantic salmon)
Lineage: Eukaryota; Metazoa; Chordata; Actinopteri; Salmoniformes; Salmonidae
Description: lncRNA (ENSSSAG00000093888.1)
Source: RNAcentral